This 28-nucleotide non-coding RNA is filed under the name Bombyx mori (domestic silkworm). RNAcentral also lists the same sequence under 1 other name. The record is from RNAcentral. Lineage: Eukaryota; Metazoa; Arthropoda; Insecta; Lepidoptera; Bombycidae.
UAAGAUCAAGUGCACUAAAUAUUCUCGC